AAUUGCUAGUAAUCGCGGAUCAGCAUGCCGCGGUGAAUACGUUCCCGGGCCUUGUACACACCGCCCGUCACACCAUGAGAGUCGGGAACACCCGAAGUCCGUAGUCUAACCGCAAGGAGGACGCGGCCGAAGGUGGGCUUGAUAAUUGGGGUGAAGUCGUAACAAGGUACC
This 171-nucleotide ribosomal RNA is filed under the name uncultured bacterium. RNAcentral describes it as "partial 16S ribosomal RNA". It matches the Rfam family "Bacterial small subunit ribosomal RNA", at positions 1330 to 1500 of the family's 1533-position model. The record is from RNAcentral.